This 2365-nucleotide long non-coding RNA is filed under the name Paramuricea clavata. The record is from RNAcentral. Lineage: Eukaryota; Metazoa; Cnidaria; Anthozoa; Malacalcyonacea; Plexauridae.
GUUCGAAAUAAAAUGAUUCCAAAUUCUCCCAUGUAAAUAACUUUGCUUAGUAUAAUAAAAAGUGUAAUCAAUAAAGAAACACUGAAAUAAUACGCUGUCUUGUUUCAUAUUUUAUAUACGCAACGAUCGGCUUUUAAAUUAAAGUAACUACAGCCGAGAUUACAGUAUAUUAAAAGCAAACAAUGCAUUAAUAUUUAAAACAAACUUACCUUCAUUAACGUCGGCACCUUUACUUCCUUCUUUUAGCAAUCCUCUUGCCUUUAUUUCAUCAAAAAUCCUUUGCAAUUUACAAAAUCUUGCAAAAAUGAAAUAUAUUUGCAAGAAAGCAUCAAAUCAAUUUCGCUGUCGUCAAUCGUCAUGCAGCCGUUAUAAUGCUAAUUUUAAAUUGGACCAAUCAGUGUUGCCUAUUCAUUACAGUCCGCUAUAUUAUGAGAUCAGUGAGGAUGACCACCCACCGAAACACGCACAGUGACCCACGCCCGCGAUAUUUGAUGAACUUUAGACUUCGCUAAUGCUUUCGUUUCCCCGGGUGUAAAUAGCCGGGGGGAAUUAGUACCCUCGCACGGCGCUUCGCGCCGUCGGCUCGGGGAUAAAAUAUUACAGCUUCACCUGGCAUCUAAGACAGUAAAAUAAUAAGGGUUAAAAUCAAAUAUAUAACAGCAUUAUAAAAUAAGUUAGUCUAAUAUUCUAACUACAAUUAGCAUAUUUAUUGCCAAUUGACUGGAGUUUAUAUUGUUGACCAUAAGUCCUCUAUAUAAACCAUGCUAGAAAAGAUUUAUUUCAUGACUAGCCAAUUACGGAGGCCAGCACCAAGGGGUUAUGACCGACAGGCGACAUUCCUUAAAAAGAGUUGACAGACUAUCUAAAAAAGAGCGACAAACGACUGGAAAGGACUUUGGAAAGUCUACACAUUAGGGACCAUAUAGUCUUAUAGAAGUAAGGAAUCUUCAUCGAUAAUUAAUAAUACAUUUCUUGCUAUGUGAGGGGUCGUGAGUAGAGGACUUAUGGUAUACAAGGUAGUAUACAUUUAUAAUUAAAUUAUAUUUUAUUUAACAACACUAAAUAAUGUUUUAUAUAAAUUCACUAAUCCAAUUCAAGUAAUGUACAUUAAUUCACAGCCAAAGCAUGUACACUUUUUUUGACAUUUUGGACCAUUUGAACACAAAUCGCAGCAGUUCGCAGCAGUUCACAUCAAGCAUUUUAAUUUUCAGUAUGUGUCUAGAUGAUAUGACAGCAUAAUUUCUUCAGUGUGAUCCAUUAUAUGAAAUUUAACACUGGACAUGUUGAUGAUAAUUCUGUUAUCCAUAAUGUACGUAAGAAGUUAUAUGCAUUUCGAUGAUGAUUAAUCCAAUAUUCAAUAUAUGCAUAGACCAUAUGGUAUGGUAGCAAAUUAUGUGAUGAGGAAUAUCUAUACCAUAUAUUUUCGCUUGAGAUAUCUUUUUUAAUCCAUUCUGUGAAAAGUUGAUGAAUAUGUUGAUGAUAUAUAGGAUGGUACGGAAACUUCUUAUGUUGUCCAUAACUGAAUAUAUGGCCAUUAUUUAAUAUGCGUUGGAUAUGGUAAUUAAUGUGGUAGCAUAAUUUGAUGAGCAGGAUAUAUACCAUAUAAUUUCUGUUGAAAUGUCGUUUGUAAUCAAAAACUGAUGAAAAUGUUGAUGACAUUAGUCCAUAAGAGCAUAGUAUAAAUAUAUUUUCUCUUGAACUUUCAAUUUUGUCAUCCGGCCAUGAUGAGGAAUAUGUAUUUUAGUCCUCUUCAUCUUUCUUUGGAAAUCAUCACAUCUAUAUAUACAGUAUAUAUAGCAAUAUUAAUUAACCUAUACCAUAUUAUCUAUUGGGAUUGAGGGGUUUAAUUAUAUAUAAAAAUGAUAAAUCCAACUUCGCCUUUCUCAAUGUCUUGAACACACAAGGUGGCGGAAAGGCAAAAUUGAAGUUAUCAUUCUUAGUGAUACUUGUUAACCCAUUAGUGCAUUAGACACUGUCCAUUCAUUCAGGCUAAUGCCGCCAAUUAAGUGUCCAAUCAUUCAGGUGUCCAUAGAUGAGGGCCAUGAGUGGCCAUUCAUUCAGGAUAAUUAAUGAUCACCUAAAUAUACUCAACUCAUUGUGAAAACUUACUUGGCGUUAUAGAGUACCAGUACAUUCAUGUUCAUCUUUAUCAUUCAGAAAUCUCAAUAGGAUAAUAAUAUUCCCCUAUGUUCCUUGUUCUUCCAGCUUUCGUUAAAUAAAUGUAGUACGUGUUCAAUGUCAACCCAUUGAAGCGUCAAGAAAGAUAAAAUGCUUGCCUGGCUUGUUUAAAAUGUCAGUUUGUAUAAGUGGUACUCUAACUUAAUGUUACAAUGUACAAUACAUAAAUAUGUCACAUAGAUGCAUG